Molecule: long non-coding RNA, 425 nt
Organism: Crotalus tigris (Tiger rattlesnake)
Lineage: Eukaryota; Metazoa; Chordata; Lepidosauria; Squamata; Viperidae
Exons: 3
Source: RefSeq, a predicted model, not a curated record
CAUACUUUUUUUUAAUUUUUUUUGUUUUUUUUAAAUUAAUUCCACAUGCAUUUACGCUUACUUUUUUGCAGAGGGGUGUGGGUGUGGGGGCUUCUAACAUUUUGCUAUUAUUUUUUCCCCAUUUCUGUUCAUUCCUCAUCAUAGGGUUUCUCAGCCUCUGAAGGGCGAAUGUAACCACCACAAGUUCUCCCACUGCUGCCUCUUGUGAAUACCUGCAACGCAAACAAAGCUCAGACAUUAUGGGGACAACUCAGGUUUUGCCUGGCAUUCUGCAGAAACAUUGCUGUAUUUUACCAGACAGGAAUACAGGACUAGUUUAAUUUGGAUUCUCGGAGACAUAGGAUCAAGGUCUAGUUGGAAUCAAGAUCUACCCACAAGAGAGAUAUGUUAUUGUAUCGAGAAGAUGGAUAGAAUAUGUUCAGAAG